GACGAACGCUGGCGGCGUGCUUAACACAUGCAAGUCGAACGGAAAGGCCCUGCUUGCAGGGUACUCGAGUGGCGAACGGGUGAGUAACACGUGGGUGAUCUGCCCUGCACUUCGGGAUAAGCCUGGGAAACUGGGUCUAAUACCGGAUAGGAGCCAUUUUUAGUGUGAUGGUUGGAAAGUUUUUUCGGUGUAGGAUGAGCUCGCGGCCUAUCAGCUUGUCGGUGGGGUAAUGGCCUACCAAGGCGGCGACGGGUAGCCGGCCUGAGAGGGUGGACGGCCACAUUGGGACUGAGAUACGGCCCAGACUCCUACGGGAGGCAGCAGUGGGGAAUAUUGCACAAUGGGCGCAAGCCUGAUGCAGCGACGCCGCGUGGGGGAUGACGGCCUUCGGGUUGUAAACUCCUUUCGCUAGGGACGAAGCUUUUUAUGACGGUACCUAGAGAAGAAGCACCGGCUAACUACGUG
This 465-nucleotide ribosomal RNA is filed under the name uncultured bacterium. Its description in RNAcentral is "partial 16S ribosomal RNA". It matches the Rfam family "Bacterial small subunit ribosomal RNA", at positions 28 to 507 of the family's 1533-position model. The record is from RNAcentral.